This 229-nucleotide ribosomal RNA is filed under the name uncultured bacterium. RNAcentral's name for it is "partial 16S ribosomal RNA". It matches the Rfam family "Bacterial small subunit ribosomal RNA", at positions 568 to 796 of the family's 1533-position model. The record is from RNAcentral.
UACGUAGGCGGAAUAUUAAGUCAGUGGUGAAAUCCUGCGGCUCAACCGUAGAACUGCCAUUGAUACUGAUAUUCUUGAAUGUAGUUGAGGUAGGCGGAAUGUGUAAUGUAGCGGUGAAAUGCUUAGAUAUUACACAGAACACCGAUUGCGAAGGCAGCUUACUAAACUAUGAUUGACGCUGAUGUACGAAAGCGUAGGGAGCGAACAGGAUUAGAUACCCUGGUAGUCC